CACAACAUAAGCCAUCAAAUAUUCAAAUGUAUAGUAUUGAAGAGACAACAAUUAGAAUGUGACAAAUAAAAAGAAAAAAAAAUCUUACAUCUUCAACAAAUCCAAUAAAUAACCAAAUAUUAAAUCUGCAACAAAAACCUGGCUCAAUUUUCCGACCGUAAAUUCCUUUCGGCUUUGAUAUUUGUUCCGAUAAAGACAUUCGUCUCUGCGGUAGCUAUUCUUCGACACUACGCUACGUACUAUACACAUUGAAAACCUCAGCCAGCACAAAAUGUCUCAAUUGCCCCUUCUCUUGUCCGAAAAUUUCCUCUCAGACAGAGAGAUAUGAUAUAUGCAUACAUGCAUGCCCACAUUAUGAUAUCAUGUUCUGUUGUGUAUGGGAUCCGACCCUCGUCGAACUUUUCUCUUGCUCGAUUGAUUCGGAUCAAAGGAGCUCUCCACACGGGCCGUUUCCGAUUCCUUGUCUGUAUUUAGACCGUUCAUUUCGACUGCCUUGAGCGUACGUUGAUUCUUGAUCUGCAAAAAUCCUCCGUUUCUCGAGCCAGAAACUUCGUGUGGAUGAAAUGCUAAUAACCAUAUACAUAAUACGAGUAGUACGAAAGAUCUUCUGGUACAAAUAAACAUGUUUUUUUUUUUUUGUGUGUGUGUGUAAUAAAUAAGGAGAAUGUAGGAGAGUAGUGUAAUAAGAAUGUGAUCCUUACUAUUUUUUUC
RNAcentral lists this long non-coding RNA (711 nucleotides) under Erythranthe guttata (spotted monkey flower). RNAcentral describes it as "long non-coding RNA (EGUT_LNC002317)". The record is from RNAcentral. Lineage: Eukaryota; Viridiplantae; Streptophyta; Magnoliopsida; Lamiales; Phrymaceae.